This 445-nucleotide unclassified non-coding RNA is filed under the name uncultured Ascomycota. RNAcentral's name for it is "sequence contains ITS2". The record is from RNAcentral. Lineage: Eukaryota; Fungi; Ascomycota.
AACUUUUAGCAAUGGAUCUCUUCGCGGAUCUCUUUGCGGGCCUCUUCGACGCCGAUGCCGUGGUUCGCAUGAGGGCGGCGGACGCCGUUGAGAAGAUCACGCGAGAACGUCCGGAGUUGCUUCGGCCCUGGAAGAGACUGUUAUUGGAACAGAUUUCUACUCUGGGCGAAAAGGAGGUGCGAUGGCAUAUCGCGCAAAUGAUCCCGCGGCUUAGCCUGACAUGCAGCGAAAAGGACACGGCUGUGCAGAUUCUGAUGGGCUAUCUGGCUGACAAAAGCAGCAUCGUCAAGACUUUCAGCAUGCAGGCGCUGGCGGACCUCGCCGAGCGCGACGCACGGCUACGGGCAGAAGUGCUGCCGCUGAUCGAGCGGCUUACGCAAACUGGCACCCCGGCCAUGCGAAGCCGCGGCCGCAAGCUACUUAAGCAUAUCAAUAAGCGGAGGCU